RNAcentral lists this transfer RNA (60 nucleotides) under human gut metagenome. It matches the Rfam family "tRNA", at positions 7 to 64 of the family's 71-position model. From Rfam's summary of the family: Transfer RNA (tRNA) molecules are approximately 80 nucleotides in length. Their secondary structure includes four short double-helical elements and three loops (D, anti-codon, and T loops). Further hydrogen bonds mediate the characteristic L-shaped molecular structure. tRNAs have two regions of fundamental functional importance: the anti-codon, which is responsible for specific mRNA codon recognition, and the 3' end, to which the tRNAs corresponding amino acid is attached (by aminoacyl-tRNA synthetases). tRNAs cope with the degeneracy of the genetic code in two manners: having more than one tRNA (with a specific anti-codon) for a particular amino acid; and 'wobble' base-pairing, i.e. permitting non-standard base-pairing at the 3rd anti-codon position. The record is from RNAcentral.
AUCGCUUAGUGGUUAGAGCAGAUGAUUUAAAAUCAUCCAUCGCAGGUUCGAAUCCUGCUU